GAUUGUGCAACCCAGGAAAACAAAUAAUCCGCAUUUUAGCUGGGAAGGCAGCUUGCUUUCGAUAUUAACGUGCAGAGAAAUGGCUGGUUCGGGAGGAGAAAGCAACCAUCAAAGGACGGCUUCAGAUCCUGCCAUUGGCCCGGAGACGCCGGUGUUGCGGAUCAGCCAACUGGAUGCCCUUGAGCUGGACUCGAACCUUGAGCAGCUACUGUGGACCCAGUUCACUCAGUGCUUCCAGAACUGCCGCCCAGGUGUUCUCACCCCCGUGGAGCCCGAACUGAAAGCUCUGCUUUACCUGCUGCUUUGGAGGUUCACACUGUACUCCAGCAAUGCCACAGUGGGACAGUCUUUACUGAGCUUGCGCUACCAUGACACAUAUUCAUCGUCUCCUUUGUACACGCCGCUCUCCUCCAGGCAAAAGUUGGGGCUGGCCAUGCUCACUCUACUUCCUCGUUGGCUCCAGGAGCGUUCCCACCACUUUUUGCCAUGCUUGGGUUUAGGUUCAAGAGGAGCCGCGUCUGAAAGUGACGACAGUUUGCUCCGGCUAGGUCUCCGCAACUCCCUGAUCCUUGUUUCUGGUUUAACAAAGUUGGCUAGUCUCUUCAACUUCCUUGUUUUCCUAAGGAAUGGACGGCAUCCCACUCUAGCUGAAAGAAUCGCAGGAGCUCUGACUGUUUUCAGUAAGCCUAACGUGGUCAGAGAUGUGCCUUACCAGUACAUGAACCGGGAGCUGCUUUGGCAUGGCUUUGCCGAGUUCCUGAUCUUCCUGUUACCACUGAUCAACGUAAGGAAGCUGAAAGCAGCUGCGCUGUCCUGUGUGUUUGGGAACAGCUCUGAUAAGAAAGGAGCAAAAGAAGGGAAAGACGUGUGGAAAGAGUGUGGACUAUGUGGGGAUUGGCCCACCAUGCCUCAUACUGUGGGCUGCCAGCACGUGUUCUGCUACUACUGCAUCACAAGCCACAGCAUUGCAGAUGCAAACCUUACUUGUCCCAAAUGUGGCGCCGAAGCAGGCGCGCCUGAGUCGGUCAAGAUGAGCGUGCAAAUUGUGGAAAGGUGAUGAUCACUUCUUGUAAAGAGACUCCGGUGAUAAAGAAAUCAGUCCGGUAUUUUCUGUCGUUUCUCUUUUCCGAGACUUUGUCACGUAUGAGUUUAUGAAUAGAAAUAUUAUUAUGCUCUCUUUUUUUUUCUGAGCACACACUGGUCUGCUGUGUUUGAUGUAUAUGUGCACAUAUUGACCGACUUCUGUGCCCCGUUUCUCAAUCUGGACUUUGAAUAGAAUUAUUUGUCUUGGGUGAACUGGACAGACUACAGAGAACCACACAGAGCAUAUAUUUGACGAGCGAAUGUGUUGAUUUAUGCUCCAAAUUGGCUCUGUGAUGAUGAGCGUGGAUGUGUGUGUGUGUGUGUUGAAAUGGGAAUAUUUGUUCUGAUGAAAAAUGCAGGAGGAAUUUCUGAUGCCUCUCAUCAUGGCCAAAUUAGCAUUUGUUGUGUAUUUUGUGCCUAAAUUGUAUUUCAACAUCAUUAAAAUAGAGCGCUACCUCUUGGGUGUUUGUUUAGUUAAGUGGAGGAGAGAGCGAUGAGGGGAAGUUAGAACAAUCAGUGCUCUUCUCACCAGACAGGCCCGGUCGCUCUAACUCCCAUUAUCCGUUUUCACAGCACCCCAACAUGCUCGAGAUCAAGGGGGCAGCCGGGGGCUUGGAUUGACUCGCACACACUUGACAGCCGUCCUCUCUUUUCCCUUGGCCUUUCUCUCUUUUGCUGCCUUUCCAUCUCUCUCCAUCUGUAAUCUCAAGGGCCCUCGCCCCUAUAAGACUGUAGUAAACUGUACCAAAACCCCGGCAGUCGUCUCCUUCCUCGCAGGCGAAUUACUCUCUAAUCCCUGUAAUGAGUCCAAAGAUGCUUAUUUAUGCUGGAGUUAACCUCCACCAGUGAGCCCAGCCCCAGGCCAAACUCACCCCAGCUGAGUGAAGCCUUUCCUCGGCUGACAAGAGAGGAGAGGGAUGGAAAAGGGGGGGGGGGGGUCCCACCUCCUCUUCCCACCCCUUUCGCCUUCUCUGAUCACUAGUACUUAAAGAGCAAGUCACCCCCAAAUCAACUUUUUUUUGCUGACAAACUAUAUAAAUGUGUGUCUAAUUGUGCUGCAGACACAUGUCGUCAAUAAUUUGGCACUUCAGUGCAUCUUAGUUAAAAUUGAAAUAUUCUGCCUAAAACUGUCAGUGUUGCGCCGUUGUCAGGUAAAAACUCAGCACUGCAUUUGAAUUUAAAUCUGCCACCGCUAUUGGCUAAGAGGUAUGCUAUGAUGUAAACUGGUACAUUAUGAUGUCACAGUGCCGUUGUGAGCCUGAGUGUGUGUGUGUAUUUGUUAGUGGCUCCGCCCUCUCGGUCUGCCAGGCAACAGCAUUUGUUGCACUUUUCAAACAUGAAGAGGGAGUGAAGUAAGUUUCUUGUAGGGGGUGACUUGCUCUUUAAUUGCUGAUUGCCUGGACGGUCAAUCGGAACUGCAGGCACGAUACGGAGCCUAUCGAGGCAGAAGCUGGUCUCGGAUCAGAUCUAGAACCUAUUUUUUGUACUCAAGCUGGCUUUUUAGCUGGUCACAGAGGCUGUGGCAUAAAAUAUUUGCGGUACACGGGUGCUCUUGAGAAAUACUCGUCUUAAAUUAUUUAUACCACUGACCAAUGUGAUCUUUGUCCUAGAAUUUCUGCAUUUCUCUAUGACGAAUGUAGUUUGUGGGCAUGCAAGGCUGAAACGAAUCAAUUGUAUGUUUAAAAACAACUAUGGAAGUAAUAAUAUAGGAUCUCGCGUGCUCAAAAUAAGUGUAGGAGUAGAAGUGUUAACAUCCUAGGUGAUGAUUGGGUCAAUAAGCAUGUGGAAAACACAGACAUCAUGGCAUGAAACCUCGGACGUUCUCUUUCCCACAAAGGACAUUUUAACUAAUGAAUUCAACUCUAAUGCACAUAAAGCCCAAGCCAGGAAAAGACCGGUUGUCAAUAUUUUAUGCACUGCAAUACAUUAAUGUGAGGCAAGUCCCAGAAAGUGAGAUUAGGGAGAUGUUCGAGAUUAAGGAUGCAUAUAUGAUCAACCUUAAUGCCUCUGGGACAUGUCAUUGUCUUAACAUUCAGACAGACUUACAAUCCAAACCUUUUUGCCGAUAUUACUCUGCAGCUCUAAUUGAAGUCCCCAAUCCCCGGGAAAGAGACAAGAUAAGGAAGAAACACUGCAUUAAAGUCUAUUAAUUGAGUUAGAACAUGUAUUAAAUUAGCUGGAAGUUGGAACAGGGUUCUGGAUUUAAGCAAGGUAGCUAGGGCUCAGAAAAGCCUAUCUUGUCUUUGGAUCUUUUCUAAUUCGCAGGCUCCGUGCAGAGAAGAAAAACGAGGAAGACGCCCACAUUCCCAGCGGCAGCGCAAAGCAAUCUGCACAUUCACACGCAGCCAUUUAGGGAGCAAAUUGGCCCUGUGCCCCCUCUGACGAUGGGUUUAAGAGAAAGGGAAUUAGGGCGUUGAAUCCCUAACUGGAUCUCCUUCUUUGAUGAGUCUCUUUAUCCGCCUGUCCCUCAUCUCCAUUCCUUUGAUGUGAGGCGUUGAUUUUCCUGAUUAAAUAGUUUUUAAAGUAAAAAGCUUUUCUCUGGGCUCUGUAAUACUGGGUACUUUACUGCACCUAUUGUAGGUUCGUUUGUGUGCUUGCUUGUUGAAUGGUCCGUCUGUGGCAUUCCUUAAUUGGAACAGAGCCCUUGGCCUGCUGAUAAUGGCGAGGAUAGUACAUGCAUAUUUUUCUCUCUUGGAAAGAAUAUCAUUAAAAGCUCAUGCUUGGCUUUUACCUCUUCAUUUGAAAUGGCUAGAAGGACCCAGAUAGCCUCAUGGUUCACCAAUCUGUGCUUUUUCACUUCAACAAAAUUCCAUCUCUGAUCCUUCUACUGAUGGUGUGAGCUUCCAUCUCCUCUCAACAGGGUGGUGGUCCCCCCUAUCCGGCCACGCUCCUGAACAAUCAUUCCCCAUCACGCGCUCUGCGCUCCUCUGACCAAGGCCUGCUCGUUG
This is an RNA transcript of Nothobranchius furzeri (turquoise killifish), 4031 nucleotides long. It is a transcript of the gene named peroxisomal biogenesis factor 2, with no coding region annotated. The record is from RefSeq and is a predicted model, not a curated record. Lineage: Eukaryota; Metazoa; Chordata; Actinopteri; Cyprinodontiformes; Nothobranchiidae.